UUUGCAGAGAGUGUUGUCUUUUAGGUCUUAUUGUUAGAGAAGACUAAAAAUAAGUAUGGAACCUUUUACCUGUAGCGCUACCCAAAGGACAAAUGAGUCUUGUAUUUUGGGUGACGAUUGUUGGAGAUAGUCUCAAAGCGAUCAAUUGGGUACUAUACGUAGGGGAUGGGACGUACGUGCGGAUGAAAAUGGCAGUGUUGCUUUGGUGGCCGUCACUUGAGAGGCAGUUUAUUACAUUGAGCCCAGUUAAAUGCUGUGACUGUCUCGGGUGGAGAGCGAGGCAUGCACGGCCUGCACGCCAAUCGAUCAGCUCGGAGAUGAACCGGCCAGCGUGCUCGGCAAAAGCACCAGAAUACCAUCGGUCACCGCUCAAACGUCCACGGAGGCGCGCUUUAUCAAAAUAUCUAUAAUAAUGCCGGCCACUAUGAUUUUUUGAUAUUAUUUUCUAUUUUGCUUUAUCAAAAAAUAUAUAAUAAUUCCGGUGGAUAAAAAAUAUUAUUUUCUAUUUUUAAAAAAUUAUUUUAGUUAGUUUCCUUGCGUUCAGGCAGGUUGCUAAUUUAAAUUAAGUGAAAAAUGAAUUUAUAAAAUUUGUUUAUGCCACGAAUAAGUUUCUCUAUUUUCAAAAUUAAAUUUUAAAAUUAUGGUUUUAAAAAAAUAAUAUAUAGUUAUAGGUUCAAAAUUGUUUUGAAAUAGUUUCCUCAAAAAAAAAAUUAAAUCUUCCGAAAUAGAGUUUAAAAAUCUUUCAAAUUUGUAGAGAAGUUUCAAAUAAUUUGGUUUUAACCCAGCUUUAAAAUAAGUUUAAAAAUUUGAUUUGUUUUCAGUAUUUAUUAGAAAAUAAAAGGUUUAAAUAAAUAUGUUCGCAAACUAUUUUGCAAAAAAUUUACAUAGAGUAAAAACUUAUUAGGGACCAAAAUUCUCUAAAAAUCCUAAGCCAAAACCUUUUGUCCUUUUUCAUCUAGGUCUGCUUCCUUUUUUUUGCUUUAUCACUCUGCCUGCUUUGCUUCAGGCUUAGUCUUCUUGCAUGCUCUCCUCGACCCGUAGCUAUAGUUAACUGCCAUGUUAGCCACCAGCAACAACUCAUCAAUACUCCCUCUUCAUUAGUGACUAACAUGUGGGUCCACUUUGUCAUCUUCUUCCUUUUUGUUCCCUGUUUAUCUCAACUAGUCUGGACUCAAAGCUUGAGUAUUUUUAAGAUAGUUCUUGAAGACAGUGUUGUGACUACGCUACUAUAUCUCGGUUCACCUAUGGAGAUGGUGUAUCACUAUACUAUUGUCGCAUGUAUAAAUAAAGUGAUCCUUCCAUACAUGUGACGUGCAUUCGGUUUUAUGCUUAAAACUAGACUAGGUUAAUGCCCGUACGUUGUUACGGGUUUUAAAAUCUGCAUACUCUAUGUUUCUUCAUUGUUAUUUUAUUUUUUCGUCUAUAUUCUUCCUUUUUCAUUUCUUUUUAGUUUUUGUUUUUCGAUUUUAUUUUAUUUUCUAUCCUUUCCUUAUUCUUUUCUUGUUUUAAUUUUACGUUUUAUUUUAUUUUUCUUUUGGUUUUAUUUUUAUUGUUCUUCCUUGCUUCUAUUUGUUUUUCUUUUUUCUUUUCAGAUUUUCUAUGUUUCUUCAUUUUUAUUUUAUAUUUUAUUUCCUUUUAAUCUUAUUUUUAUCCUUAUUUAAAUUAUUCAUUAAUUUUAUUUGCUCUAUGCACUUUUUACCAUUUGUUAAUUAUGUUUGUUUUAUAAUUUUAUUUUAGUAAUUUUAUUUUUUAUUUUUAUUUUCUAUAUAUAUGUGAUAUUUAUGUAGUAUAUAUUUAGUGUUCUAUAUUGUGUUAUGUCAUGUUUACGUAAUAUAUAUGUGAUGUUCUAUGAUGUUUCUUACGGUGUUCACUUAGUAUACAUGUAAUCUAUAAUAGAUGUGAUGUUCUAUAAUAUAUUUAAUGAUGUUCUAUGAUGUAUUUAGUGAUGUUAAUGUUUUAUAAAUAUAUUUACGAUAUUUAAAAAGUAACCCUUUGACAUUAUUUGAAAUUUUUCUCCAUUUUGUGUUUUUAUUUUUUUUCUUAUGCUUUUUACUCUAUAUUUUUUUAUUAUUUUUAUAUAUGUCAUGUAUUUAUGUAUUUUUAUGUAUAUUGUAAUAUCAGUUUCAUAAACCUAAAACCAAAAUACUAUUCUUCUAAAUCGAUAACAUUUUUUUACAAAGACUGAACAUUGUCUGUUGAACCUAGAAUAUUAUUUCUACUUAAUAAAAUAAAAUAUUUUAUCUUUAUAAGAUAAAUAUUCAUUAAUAAAAUUUUAUCUAAAUAUAUCCAUGUGUGAUCUUGUUUUGAAGAAUUUGUUAUAAGAAAUUUAAUGGUGCAAUCAGAAUUUAAUUUAUAUCUCUAGUUUAGGAGUUAUGACUUUUUUUAAUUCGCUAAAACAAUUUUGCAUGCAUAAGUGAGUGGGGCCUAGGUUGAUGGGAUAGCGUGUCAUUACGCAGUAAAAAAGACCACCAAAGAGAUGAAAGUUAUGGAUGGGUUCUCUCUAUAAUUUUUAGUUGUAGAGAUAAAUAUUAAUUAAUAAAAUUUUAUCUAAAUAUAUCUACGUGUGAUCUUGUUUUGAAGGAUUUGUUAUGAGAAAUUUAUUGGUGCAAUCGGAAUUUAAUAUAUAUAUCUUCGGUUUAAAAGUUAUAAUUUUUUUAAAUUUGCUAAAACAAUUUUGCAUGCAUGGGUGAGUGGGGCCUAGGUUGAUGGGAUAGCCUAUCAUGGAUAAAAGGGAUGGGAGUUGUGGCUUCACUAUGGGUGUGGUAGAUGGGUCCUUUUCAUAAUUUUUAGUUGUAGAGAUGUAACAAUUUGUGUCUACAGGGAGUAAGUCAACCUCCCAAAUUUGUCAAAAUUAAGUGAUUACCUUUUUUUACCUUUGAUUGUCAACUAUAAGACCCAUUUGACACUACUUCUCCAACAACUUCAUAAGUUGUUUGAAGCUUUUUUUUUUGUAUCAAACUAGCAUUCUUCAAAUAGCUUUGCAUGCAAAGCUCCUUAAAUAUGCUCUCAUAAGAGAUUGUUGUGAGUGAAAGGGACUCUAGCCUAAUGGUUAAAGCACCUGAGUAGCAUCCAGUAGUCUGAGUUCAAUUCCAUGUGGGAGCGAAUUAAAACAUAUAUGAAAAAAGUUAUAAAAAUUUGGUUGGGGGUUUUUCCUACCAAUUUCGGUAAAAAAUAUUGUUGUGAGAUGAAGCUAAAUAGCUAUUUCUUCCAACUACAACUCGCUCUGGUGGCCCUGUGUGGGCAGAGGUUCAUUUGUGAGAGCAUACUUUGUGGAGCUUCACAUGCAUAGUUGUUUUUGCCAAACAAUUCGCUAAAAUAGCUUAUGUCCAUCAAUAUAAUUGCUCGUGAAGUUGAAGCCAAAAAAAGCUACUUCACUAAUAAAGUGGAGCAGUGAUAAUAGUGUGUAAGAUUGACAGUAUAAUACUGCCAUAAUUGAUCAAUAUACAAAAUAACUAAACAAUAGAAAUGUCUCUUUUCAUUUACGAUACCUAAGGCACCAUUAUAAAUGGUCCUUGAGACCCUUUUUACAUGGCGAAAUAUGUAGUGGAAACUAUAUUCUAAAAAUAUGUAGUGGAAACUAUAUGUUAGGUAAAAACAUAGAAUCCAAUUCAAAAGAUGUAUUUUGGUUGCUCAAUUUCUUUUUAAACUUGGCGCAUGUUGGGGAAAAGAUAACUUUGACUCCGAACAACAAGUGAAGGACAAAGGAGUGAUCAUAUUUCUAUACAAAAUAACUAAAAUACCCCCCCCCCCAAGAACUUUGUAUACAACUCAUCCAAUCUAAGAGGAUAAGAUGGUCUUUUCUCUAUCAGAUCAUUAACAAUGAAGAAUCUAAUAAUACUUAUUUGGUAUCAUAAAUAUUAUUAUUUUAUUAUAUAAAUCUAGUCAAAUUUGAGAUACUUCGACUUUUAAAGAAAGUUAGAAUGAUUUAUAGUUUAGGAUGGGGGAGUACAUAGCAAACACAAUUAGAGGGACCAAAUAUUAUUUGGAAUUUAAAAAAAAAGGAAAGGCCGUUUAGGACCUCUUGGCCUGUUGCAAUUUUAAAAAACAACGGCCUUAUUUUACCCCUACUGACUACCGAGGGAUUACGAGCAGCAGGCCCAUGCUAAUCAUGGGAGCAAACUAACGAGCAAUACAAGUCAACAGGCUCGCCCGUUUGAGCAAUGGGCCGGAUGCGUCGGGAAGCCCAACAGUGGCCUGGUUUUACUUUCCUUGCUCAGGUGGCCUCAAUUAGUUAAUCAUGCCUCGGGAUGAUCUACUGGAGCACUUCUCAGUUCUCACCCACAAGGAUAAAUGGAUAAUAGAUUGGGUCUUUCAAUUAUAAUUCUUCUAGCCACUUGCACGAUGCACGAGAGAGAAAUUUUAAAUUAUUUUCAUCAUUCGUAUCACCUAUAUAUAUUAGGGACGGUCCAAUAGAGAUUUCGUUCCUGCUAGUUCUUUUCAUGCAUUAGUACCUAGUACUAUUAGUGAUUGGUUAAUGUAGCUUAACACAUGUUAGUUGUAAUGUUUGUGGUGUCAUCCAAAUCCCUAAAACUACGUAUAAUACUCAUGCGAACAUAUAAUAAAAGUUAUCCUUAGAACAUGAAACGAUAAAAAAAAUUGAUAAUAUAUAUAGAUUUUAUCAAGCUUUCAUCCCCUUUUCUUGCAUUGGUAUACUCCAUCUGUCCUGCAAUAUAGUAUAUUCUAAAAAUUCUAAUAUAACUUAAGGGAACAAUUAAAUGAUGUAUAUAUCUGUAGAUUAUUUUAAUUUUAGAGUUUCUUUUUAAAUCAUGGUUCCUUUUAUAACA
RNAcentral lists this long non-coding RNA (4784 nucleotides) under Sorghum bicolor (sorghum). RNAcentral's name for it is "long non-coding RNA (SBIC_LNC014718)". Lineage: Eukaryota; Viridiplantae; Streptophyta; Magnoliopsida; Poales; Poaceae. The record is from RNAcentral.